This 465-nucleotide ribosomal RNA is filed under the name Vreelandella stevensii. RNAcentral describes it as "partial 16S ribosomal RNA". It matches the Rfam family "Bacterial small subunit ribosomal RNA", at positions 338 to 795 of the family's 1533-position model. Lineage: Bacteria; Pseudomonadati; Pseudomonadota; Gammaproteobacteria; Oceanospirillales; Halomonadaceae. The record is from RNAcentral.
CCUACGGGCGGCAGCAGUGGGGAAUAUUGGACAAUGGGCGAAAGCCUGAUCCAGCCAUGCCGCGUGUGUGAAGAAGGCCUUCGGGUUGUAAAGCACUUUCAGUGGGGAAGAAAGCCUUGGGGCUAAUACCCUCGAGGAAGGACAUCACCCACAGAAGAAGCACCGGCUAACUCCGUGCCAGCAGCCGCGGUAAUACGGAGGGUGCGAGCGUUAAUCGGAAUUACUGGGCGUAAAGCGCGCGUAGGCGGUCUGAUCAGCCGGUUGUGAAAGCCCCGGGCUCAACCUGGGAACGGCAUCCGGAACUGUCAGGCUAGAGUGCAGGGGAGGAAGGUAGAAUUCCCGGUGUAGCGGUGAAAUGCGUAGAGAUCGGGUGGAAUACCAGUGGCGAAGGCGGCCUUCUGGACUGACACUGACGCUGAGGUGCGAAAGCGUGGGUAGCAAACAGGAUUAGAUACCCGAGUAGUC